Molecule: ribosomal RNA, 285 nt
Filed under: Pleurotus sp. PLHP-10
Lineage: Eukaryota; Fungi; Basidiomycota; Agaricomycetes; Agaricales; Pleurotaceae
Description: partial small subunit ribosomal RNA
Source: RNAcentral
UCCGUGAUGGACUAACCGUCUGUCGCUGGGAAGAAGCUUAACUUGGGGGAAACUGCCACGAAGAUAAAACUUAAACAUAAUUAUGCCUUUCUUUAAUAUUAAUUAAAGUAAAUAAAAUUAAUAUUCUUAAUUUUAGGGUAGUUUUGAGUUACAUAUUCUUGUAUUUAAUUAUAAGAUAUAGUAAUUUUUUAUAAAAAUUUAAAAACAUUUAUGUUAAGAUAUUUAGUGUCAGUUAACUCAUUUAAGUAACAUCUCAAAAGUCAUAGCAAGGUAGCUUGUACUGGG